This 8274-nucleotide long non-coding RNA is filed under the name Citrus maxima (pomelo). RNAcentral describes it as "long non-coding RNA (CMAX_LNC001016)". The record is from RNAcentral. Lineage: Eukaryota; Viridiplantae; Streptophyta; Magnoliopsida; Sapindales; Rutaceae.
CAAGACUGUGCAAGCUAGAUCAACGAACACUGUAAUACAAUGCUCCUUUGAAACACCUGUAUUCAUAAGAUUAGUGUUUCCUGUAAAUAAAGUAAAUGAAUAAUAGCUCUUCAUUUUGCAAAACAUUUUACUGAUUGCUUUACUAUCUAACACAGGUAUGAGCUACAUUACCAGCUGAUUACAUUUGGAAAGGUAUAUUGUCAGUUCAUUUUGGCAUUUUCCACUGCACCAAUAAGAAACAGUAACUGUUAAUAAACAUUUUAUACUUGAACAUCUAUGCAGGUUUUUUGUACAAAGAGUAAACCAAAUUGCAAUGCAUGUCCAAUGAGAGGAGAAUGCAGACAUUUUGCUAGUGCUUUUGCAAGGUCUGAAUCCCCCAUCCUGCCCAAUUAAUAUUUUUGUUGCCACUUUAUUUCGGCAGAUAAACAUAUAAGGACAGUUAUCAGAUGUCCUAGUAAUCAAAACUAUGUCACAAAAGCCUUGAGUGCAGAUAGAAUAAAGUAGAGAACACCAUAUCAGCUAUUUAAUUAGUUAGAGGGAGACAAAUUCUCUCCUCUAGGCAGCUUGUUUCCUCUUCCCAUUUGGAUGAUUUGUACAUGCUCAUAAUAACUAACUGUUAUUCUCUGGUUUGAUCAGUGCAAGGCUUGCACUGCCAGGACCAGAGGAGAAGAGUAUAGUGAGUUCAACCAUGCCUACUAUGGCUGAAAGAAACCCUUCUGUAGUUAUCAAUCCUAUGCCAUUACCUUCACCUGAGAAAAGCUCACUUGCUGAAGUACGACGUGAAAUUGGCAAGUGUGAACCCAUCAUUGAAGAACCAGCAACACCAGAACAAGAAUGCACAGAAAUAACAGAAAGUGACAUUGAGGAUGCAUUUUAUGAGGAUCCUGAUGAAAUCCCCACAAUAAAACUCAAUAUUGAAGAAUUCACAGUGAAUCUACAGAGCUACAUGCAAGAGAAAAUGGAACUACAAGAAUGUGACAUGUCCAAGGCUCUAGUUGCUUUGAAUCCAGAUGCUGCUUCUAUUCCAGCACCCAAACUGAAGAACGUGAGUCGGCUACGUACAGAGCACCAAGUGUAAGUGGAUAUCCUCCAUAAUUUUAUAAAAAGUAAUUUCUCCAAAAGGAAUCAGAAUUACAUCUCAGAUAGGCUAAUUUGCAUAAAGUAGAGUUCAUAUUAAUCCAUGUGACUGAAAUCCCAAUCUAAAUUAGCUUUGAAUAAAGUUGAAGCAAGUUCAAUUUAGCACAAGAAAAGCUUGUCAUUACUCAACAUAUGGUAAGUAGCACAUGAAAAUGGCUCACAACAAACUGCAGUUUCUAGUCAAUACAAGAGCUCCAGAUAACUAAUAUCGAUUAUCAAUAACUGAAAAAUGGUCCAUUUCAACAAUUAUUAAGCUUUAAUAGUGAACAGAAUCCUGCAUGACUUUUUCUAACUCCCUGGUAUGAUACAGGUAUGAACUUCCAGAUUCACAUCCUCUACUAGAAGGGGUUAGUUUCUCUCUAAUUCCAGAAGUCAAGUGUUUUUACAUGACAUUUGUUUGACUAUGAGUCUACUGAAUUUACAGAUGGAUAGACGGGAACCUGAUGAUCCUAGUCCAUACCUCCUUGCUAUAUGGACCCCAGGUGCGCAAAUGACAUAGUUGAUCCCCGGAUAUAAAAGUGUUCUCAGCAAUACUGAGCAUGAAACAAUUCACUGUACCGGUUUGUUUGGAUAUAUAAGAUAUACAGAACAUGUUAAUGUGAUGUCAGCCCAGUAAUAGUGAAAUAUAGAAAAUGAUAGGUGCUUAUAUAUGCUUGUUCCUAGCCUGUAAGGUGAAACUAUUUUGCAUGAUUACUAAGUAAUGUCUCAUAUUAUUGAACCAUGUUACUAGGGGAAACUGCCAAUUCCAUUCAACUUCCUGAAAGUAGAUGCAGGUCCAAAGAAUCUGGUAAAUUGUGCGAUGAGAAGACUUGUUUUUCAUGCAAUAGCAUAAGAGAAACUAAUUCACAGACUGUCAGAGGAACUCUUCUGGUAAGGAACUCCAUUUUGAUCUCAUCAUACAUAGAUAACCAUUCAAACUGACUCAAAGACUUACCUUCAUCCUUCACUAAUGUGUAAAUCUCCUCAUCUUCAGAUUCCUUGCAGAACAGCAAUGAGAGGAAGCUUUCCACUCAAUGGCACGUACUUUCAAGUUAAUGAGGUAAGACUAAUUAAGCGCCAACUCUUAUUUUCUUGGAAGAUUUUAGAUAAAACUCAACCCCAUCUAAACGGACAAUGUAUGGGUUUGUAAACACUGCACCCUAGCUUACCCAACCCCCUAAAAAGAGUAAUGUUUUACCAUUCAAGAUAUAACUGCAUAGUCCAUUGUGAUGCAGGUGUUUGCAGAUCAUGACUCAAGCCUCAACCCCAUAGAUGUUCCAAGAGAAUGGCUAUGGAAUCUGCCUAGACGUAUGGUUUACUUUGGAACAUCUGUAUCAUCAAUAUUCAAAGGUGAGACCGAUAAUUAAAGUUAAGCUUUUUCCAAUUGAUUCCCAAUCUAGUAAUCAAAUUGAAAAGGAUAUUACUUAGAGAAACAUUUGUCCACCAGGCCUUUCAACGGAGGGGAUACAGUUCUGCUUUUGGAAAGGUAAGAAUUAUGAAAUCCCUGUUCAAUCAUUAUAUUAGUUUAUCUGCUUUGGUUGAGAGGAAAUGACAAUACCCAUUAACUGCAUAAAUGUUCUAGUUCUUUCGAUAAUCUUAUCUGCUUUCGGUGAAAGAAAUAGAUUAUCCUACUUAAGUCGUACAUCACUUACAGAGAACAAGCAACAGCCAUGUCUUUCUUUUCCCAUCUGCAUUGAUCAACUCAUUUUUAUGUUAGUUCUCGCUCAACAAAUAUUCUCCUGUAAGGAAGUUGAGGUCACCUAGAACUCAUAUAUUACAUAAACACCCAUCAGUUUACGACCAGAAAGCAAUGAGGUUAAAGAAACAACUAAAUAAGGUAUAUACUCCCACAAGCUAACUCAGCAGUUGGCUGAGUACAAAAAGAGGAAUUUUUUAUUAGUGUGGAUCAUCAAAAAUAGAGUCUGCACUACAGAGUUAAAAUGGAUAACCCUUGUUUACUCUUCACUAUCAGCAAAUUGACAUACUAGUAGGUAGCCUAGUUAACUCCACUGCAAUAUGGUAACUCUCCAUCUUCACUGACGCAAUCCAGAAGAACAUAACUUAUGAGUUUAAAUAGAGCCUAUGCCAACAUAACAUAUCAAUCACCCUAGGGAUAGAUAUAUAGGGCAUUGUACACUAUAAAUAUAAAUUCAGCCAAAAUGGACUUUAAAAGUUGUUAUUUUUCACUUUCAAGCUGACCAAUUCAAUGUGCCUAUUCCUUUGUCAAAAAAUAAAUAAAUUAAUAAAUAAAAUAAAUAAAAACACAAUAUGACUAUUUAAAAUGUAAUUGCAAAGUCCAAUAACUCCUGUUUUGAGUUUAAAUUCUCCUUUGUUUCUUCUAUAUAGCUUUAACUUAUCUUAAUGGUAUGAUAUAAAUAACACAAUUUUCAUUUCUUUAAUGAUUUUAUACAACGAUCAUGGUUCACUCUUCAAGAUUUCAAAAGUUUUAUUCACCAACUACAAAACCGAAAGUAUGUAAAGAAAAUAACAGAUAGAGAAAAUUUUUCAACAUAAAAUUAUUUUAAAGUUAACCUACGUACCUAUCCUAUUGUGAUUUCUUUGUAUUCAUAAAGAAUUGUAUUUAGUUGUAUAUAAUAGGAAAAUCUGUUAAAAAAAAUAGCAACAAAUCAUUUUAACUAAAUGAAUCUACAUAGCUAUUUAUGCUUCCAGAUACCUUUGACCUUGAAUUCAUUCACCCAUUAGAUUACAACCUAUUUCUGAAGACAUCAACGGGUUCAACUCAAAAACCUUUUAUGCAUUGACCAACCAAUUGCUUUAAUAACUUCAGUACAAGACCCAAUACAUCCUAUGUCCAUCAUAAUUUUAUCCACAAAGCACAAAGAAGAAAGUUUCCUUUAAAAUUCAAGCGUAUACUUUUUUGCCUCCAUUCUUCUGUUCCUUAAUUACCUCCUCCUUUUAAAAUUAAAAAAAUAAAUAAAUAAAAAUCUUUUACACAAAAGAGAGCUUUAUAUUUUAUUCUGCAAUUUAUCUUAUCUCCUCUUAAAUAUAGAUACAAAAGAACUUUAUCAAAACCUAAGCUUAUCCUUAAUCAUUUAGUGCUGCGAGCAAAAAUUAAACUACUUCCCAAAUUUUGAAAGAUCACAUAUUCUUGAGAAAUAAGAAGCUAAUAUAACAUGGCUCAUACCAAACCCCUAGAUAGGAAAAGGAAAACUUCUAUCAUCUUCGACAUAGGCAAGUGAAGAAAUGACUCCUUGAAGUCUUAAAAUUAAUAUUGAACAUGCAAACAUUAUACUAGUCAAGCCAUAAAACGUCAUUAGAGCUCUAAAAGCCAAUGUUGUGAUUUGACACAUACCAUUUCCAACUAUCACUGUUUGAGCGCAUAGCAUGUGUUCAUCUUAUUCGGGCCCAAGCAACAUUGGCAUGCUCUAAAAGUUGUAAUUCAGACAUGUCACUAACUGUUUAAAAUUUAUUUGCAGGAUUUGUUUGUGUGAGGGGUUUUGACCAAAAAUCAAGAGCACCCCGACCUCUUAUGGCCAGAUUGCAUUUUCCGGCAAGUAAAUUGGUGAAAGCAAGAAACAAAAACAAACCAUAAGCAGGCAUAACACAGAGAAGAUUGCCGGAAGGAAAACCAAUAAAGAUCCAGCAGAUAGGAAAGAAAGAUUGUUGACUUCAGGGAGGAAAAUGAAUUUCAACUAACACAUUGUUGUACAUUCAAUUAUUCUUUUCCUAACAUAAAAUGCAUUCACCGCAUGUUAAUCCCAGAAAAAUAAUUUUAAGAUGAAUGGUGAGAUCUCAUGCUAAGCAUGAUGUAAGACUGUACAUUAUUAAUUCCAAUUCAUGCUCAAACGAGCGAUUCUUUUUAAGUGCUAGCAAAUAAAUAAGUACAGCAUGAGUUAUGCAAGAAAAAUGUUGCUUGUUUAAUUUAGCAGUUGAGCAAAGAACAUAGAGGAAGAGAAUAUUAAGAUUACCUGCCCUAUAUUUUAGUGAUUACUUCUUACUCUACAGAACAAAACUACAUUUGCAAGAACCUGGAAAACGACAAUAAGCUAUCAAGUCUUUUGAGAAAGAAUCUGCAAAUGAUUAUCAUAUUAUGCUAUAUAAAUCAUCCCUCUAUUGUUAACAAAUGCAAGUUCAUAUUCACAGAGAAGAUGCAAAGACACUGAACAGUAUAAUUGAUUCAAAGACAUGGAAAGAAUCAUCCACCUCAAGAGCAGUAGUCUUGAAGAUGGCUCUAUUACCCAAAUUCUGUUUCAGCAUCUAUUUAGAAACUUUUGAAUUCUGUGAGUAUUUUGUUAAAACACAAUUCUAUUGUAUCACAACCUGAAAAUUACUUAAAGAAGUCCAAGUGGUAAAAAACUAAAUUUCAACUCAAGUAUACAAGUGCAUCCAAACAAGAAUAUAAGGAAGUCUAGAAACUAUAAAAUUGAAGACUGAUUAUCACUCCAUGUGAAGUUUAACUAGCAUGCUAAUCAACUGGUACCAUUCGCUAACAUCACUACCAACCAGGUCCCCCACCUUUAUCAUCAUAAAACAUUAACACCACUGAUCAAUCCAUGACACCCAACCAUCAUCUUUAAUUCGGAGAAAACUAACUAUCCCAAUUAUCCAUGCUGUUGCCAUACCACAAUUUUCAUAAUUUGCUGUCAACAUAACCACAAACAUAAGAUUUCAUAUGAUUCAAUUAUUGUUCCUUUCAUUUCAAUUAUAUAUAUAUAUAUAUAUUUUGUGGUUCAAUGAAUAAUAGCUGUAGUUAUUCAGUCCCACCAUUUAAAUCCCUAAAUCUACACAAUUUCUUUAAUGCUAAAAUUUUCAGCUCUAAAUUUUUGCCUCCAAGGAUCUACACCUAAAUGAUUAUUUUUAUUGUGUUAUAGAAAGAGACACUAAUUAUCCACCAGCAACAAGACAAAAAAACAAGCCAUUCACGCCAAUGUGUAUUUACUUCUGAGUAUUUUCUUAAUGAGAAAUUUCCAAGCUGGAAAACGGUCAAAAACUGUUGAAAAUUAAUAUUGGAAGAUCAAUAAUACAAACAUAUGUUCACCAAUGUCCACCACUAUCAUUGAAGAAGACAAAAGAGACAAGCACACUAACCUGAGAAUAGAUAUUGGAAUUAAGCUUGGUCCAAUUCUCAAACUUCAUUUAGGACAAAUCUCAAUUAAACUGUCACGAUUAUGAGCCUCGUCAACCUAUCACAUUGAAAAUAUGCAAGCCUUUAGAUUCAAAUCUUGAAUAUGUAAUCGAUAUUUGUUCACAAGUCAUUGUCACUCAAUAUCAAAUGUGGAAAUCCAAGCACAAGUUGGCACCUAGACAGCUACAUUUCCAAAAAUUGGCAAUCUUGCUCAGAAAAUCUCCCCAACGUAAUUUUCGGAUCCACCAUCUUUCCUCCACCACGUUAGUUAAUAUAAACCAUAAGUCAAUAAUGCCUAUAUAAUUUUCACUCUUCUAAUAUCAAUUUCAUGAUAGGAGAAGCAUAGGCAUUUCUCCACAAUCUAUAACCAAAAUUGCUCUUGACUAAUAUAAAAAGCUUUUGAUCCUCAUGGUAGACCCUCUUGUACUUAACCAAAUAAAAUAAAUCGUCUAGGGACAUGGAACAUACAGCCUUAAUUGGUGAUUCCUGUGAUGGCUAGAAUUUUUAAAUAUGAUGUAACUAGCAACAACAAUCUUAAAUUGAUAGUCAAUAGAAUGCUUCAUUUCACAACGAACUGAACAAUGGCAGAAGUUGGUAAUGCUAACCAACUCAACAUAAUAAUUCACUAAAAUAAACAAAAUCUAGUGCAUUAACAAUUGCAAGGUAUCUAAUUCCACCUGUCAACGUCUCUCCUAAGAAUUGUCAAUUUGAGCUAUAAGAUUACUUGUUCGGUCUAGCGGAACAAAAAAAGAUCAAUAAAGUUGAACAUCAUCCCCUAUCUCCACCCUUCACUUGCCUCUCCGGUACUUUAAAUUCUCCUCAUAAUUCACUAUUUCUUUUGAAUUGAUAAAAUCAUAGUUACAUACAGUAAAAAACAUUUACAAACAUAAAUGUAUGCAAGCAAGACAAACACAGAUCUUGCAAGGUGGCGAAGAUACAUUUAUACGAUUUGACAUGUAUGUGCUUGUAGUGCCCAUCGAUUUCCACAUUCCAUUUAAAACACUCAAACCUUCUAUAUCAAAAAUAUCCAUCCACUGAUCUUAUGGUUUCAAAUAAUACUUAUCAAUUCCUAAUUGAAUUUUUCUACAUCUUAAGUCCAAUAACCACUGAUAUUGGGUAUCUUCAUAACUGCAAAUGUAAAAUAAUUGCAUUUAGCACAAAGGAACAUUAAACUUUGUAUCACUGGACAUCAAACUUGUAAUGUCGUAAUUCAUAUGUCAAACUUGUAGCAUUGAAUGCCAACCUUAUACAUAAAUGAGUUGCCAUAUAGAACAUCAACAUUGUAACAUUGAAAUUAGAAUCUGUAACCGUAUGCUCAAUAUCAGGACCUGCAUGAUUUGUGGUUUGACGCACUCACAUUACUUCAGUUGCCAAAUUAAGCCUAAUAAAAUUACUUAUAUUUCUCAAUUAAUUAUCCUUGUUCAACUAUCAACUAAUAUUUAAUUUCUCACUUUAUCAAGCAGUCCUAUUCCUGCAUCCUCUUUCUUCACUCAUCGACUAGCUCAUGGGUAAAACAAGAAGAAUAUAUCAAUCUGCUACAACUCAAACGAUUGUAAUAUUCAAAAAAGUAUAUAAUUGUCUACAAAUAAAUAAAUUCAGUCCCAGAACUAAAUAUUUACUAAUAUUCUGUGAUUUUAACGAACUUUGUGAAAUCUUACGAGACACGAGCUGCAAACGCAGUAAUAUAAACGGCAAAUAGUUCAAUAAGCAAUUUUAACACAAUCGGCCAUUAUUUGAUUCAAAUCUAAACAAUAAGGCAUAAUCCACAUGAACAUUACAAAUCUUUACAAUUUCAAGGUCACUUCGAAAAAAACCAACGUAAGGAAAAGAAAAAAAAAAGAUCAAAGAAUUAUUGAUCUGAAAUCUAUCAUUGAUGCUUCACUCAAACAGAGAUUUCACAUAAAAGAGAAUUAGAGAAAUAUUAAUUAAACAUUAAACAAUAAAUUAAAAAUAAAAAGAGCGUACCCGUGUGUGUAGAAAUUGAUAGCUGAUAGUUUAAACUAUGGAGAAAAGAGAGGGUUUUAUUUUGGGGCAAAGUUUGCCGCCUUUACCUCUUCCCUCCAUUUUUUUUU